ACGAACGCUGGCGGCGUGCUUAACACAUGCCAGUCGAACGGAAAGGCCCUUCGGGGUACUCGAGUGGCGAACGGGUGAGUAACACGUGGGUGAUCUGCCCUGCACUUUGGGAUAAGCCUGGGAAACUGGGUCUAAUACCGAAUAUGAUCAUCGGCUUCAUGGUCGGUGGUGGAAAGCUUUUGCGGUGUGGGAUGGGCCCGCGGCCUAUCAGCUUGUUGGUGGGGUAAUGGCCUACCAAGGCGACGACGGGUAGCCGGCCUGAGAGGGUGACCGGCCACACUGGGACUGAGAUACGGCCCAGACUCCUACGGGAGGCAGCAGUGGGGAAUAUUGCACAAUGGGCGCAAGCCUGAUGCAGCGACGCCGCGUGAGGGAUGACGGCCUUCGGGUUGUAAACCUCUUUCAGCACAGACGAAGCGCAAGUGACGGUAUGUGCAGAAGAAGGACCGGCCAACUACGUG
This 461-nucleotide ribosomal RNA is filed under the name uncultured bacterium. RNAcentral's name for it is "partial 16S ribosomal RNA". It matches the Rfam family "Bacterial small subunit ribosomal RNA", at positions 29 to 507 of the family's 1533-position model. The record is from RNAcentral.